UGAACGCUGGCGGCGUGCCUAAUACAUGCAAGUCGAGCGAACAGACGAGGAGCUUGCUCCUCUGACGUUAGCGGCGGACGGGUGAGUAACACGUGGAUAACCUACCUAUAAGACUGGGAUAACUUCGGGAAACCGGAGCUAAUACCGGAUAAUAUAUUGAACCGCAUGGUUCAAUAGUGAAAGACGGUUUUGCUGUCACUUAUAGAUGGAUCCGCGCCGCAUUAGCUAGUUGGUAAGGUAACGGCUUACCAAGGCGACGAUGCGUAGCCGACCUGAGAGGGUGAUCGGCCACACUGGAACUGAGACACGGUCCAGACUCCUACGGGAAGCAGCAGUAGGGAAUCUUCCGCAAUGGGCGAAAGCCUGACGGAGCAACGCCGCGUGAGUGAUGAAGGUCUUCGGAUCGUAAAACUCUGUUAUUAGGGAAGAACAAAUGUGUAAGUAACUAUGCACGUCUUGACGGUACCUAAUCAGAAAGCCACGGCUAACUACGUG
RNAcentral lists this ribosomal RNA (495 nucleotides) under uncultured bacterium. RNAcentral describes it as "partial 16S ribosomal RNA". It matches the Rfam family "Bacterial small subunit ribosomal RNA", at positions 30 to 507 of the family's 1533-position model. The record is from RNAcentral.